This 1365-nucleotide long non-coding RNA is filed under the name Homo sapiens (human). Its description in RNAcentral is "HSALNT0287024". Lineage: Eukaryota; Metazoa; Chordata; Mammalia; Primates; Hominidae. The record is from RNAcentral.
GAGGACCUUUUUCCUGAAGAUGUAUCUAUGGUGUUGGUUUUGUAGAGUACACUGGCUGUGAUUGGGGGUUUGCACAGUAGUUCAGAUGCUAUACGAUUUCUUUGCUUUUAAAUGGCAUUAAUGGUAUUUUUACAUUUAUAUUGGUAUAUCUGCUACAACAGUGACUUUUUCCUAUUUUUGAAUUUCCUUUCAUGAAGAGGACUUUUUUUCCUGAAGACGUAUCUAUGGUGUUGGUUUUGUAGAGUACAUUGGCUUUGAUUUGGGGUUUGCACGGUAGUUUAGAUGCUGUACGAUUUCUUUGCUUUUAAAUGGUAUUAAUGGUAUGUGUAAUUUUCUUAGUUGGUUAGAGUAUGAUUAUUAUUGGAAGCUCUGGUAAAUUUGUGCUGGGGACUAGGAUGCUAGGCUUGCCUGUCUUCAGGCCUCAGGAGUGUCAGUGGUGGGUUGAGUGUGCCUAUUCUUAUGGCCCAGGGUAGUUCACGUUGACCUCAUAACAUUGUUUGAAUAUUUGUCCCCACCAAAAUCUCAUGUUGAAUUGUAAUUUCCAAUGCUGGAUGCGAGGCCUGGUGGGAGGUGUUUGGACGAUGGGGGCAGGUCCCUCGUGGCUUGGUGUUGUCUUCGUGAUAGUGAGUUCUCACAAAAUCUGCUUAUUUAAAAGUGUGUGGCACCUACCCGCUCAACUCUGUCUCUCAUUGUCGCUUGCUCCUGCUUUCACCAUGCAGCUUCACCAUGCUUGUUUCUCCUUCAUCUUCUGCCAUAAUUGUAAGCUUUCUGAGGCCUCCCUGGGCAGCCUCAGGACACUGCUUCUCAUAUCUAGGAUGCUCAGGCUCCAGCCUUGGCUUAAAGGCACUCAGAUACUACUUCUGCUGCUGCUCUGGAGAGUACAAGCUGCUGUAAGCCUUGACAGCUUCCAAGUGGUGGUGUUAAGCCUGUAGGCACACAGAGUGCAAGAGUGAAUGAUGUUUGGCAUUCUCUGUGUAGAUUUCAGAGGAUGUAGAGAAAAGCCUGGGUGCCCAGGCAGAAGCCUGCUGCAAGGGCAGAGCCUGCAUAGAGAAUCUCUACUAUGUUAGUGCCAAGAGGAAAUGUAGGCCGGGCAUGGUGGCUCAUGCCUGUAAUUCCAGCACUCUGGGGGGGCCAAGGUGGGUGCAUCACCUGAUGUCGGGAGUUCGAGACCAGCCUGACCAACAUGGAGAAACCCCAUCUCUACUAAAAAUACAAAAAAAUUAGCUGAGUGUGGUGGCCCAUGCCUAUAAUCCCAGCUACUUGGGAGGCUGAGCAAGGAGAAUCGCUUGAACCAAGGAGGUGGAGGUUGCAGUGAGCCAAGAUCACACCAUUGCACUCCAGCCUGGGCAACAAGAGCAAGACUCU